Molecule: long non-coding RNA, 791 nt
Filed under: Betta splendens (Siamese fighting fish)
Lineage: Eukaryota; Metazoa; Chordata; Actinopteri; Anabantiformes; Osphronemidae
Description: lncRNA (ENSBSLG00000020563.1)
Source: RNAcentral
AGUAUAUUAUGUAACAUAUAUAAAAUAUUUUAAAGAAAUUUAACAAUUAAUUUUUUUUAAUUCAUAUUCAGAUCAACACAGUUUUAGAUGUGUUACGUUUCAGACAUGUGAUACGAGCUACGUUUGAUAGUUUGGUUGUGCUAUGGACAACCUUUAGUUGUGGAGAAUUUAUGUGUCGCGAUCCUGAUUCUGUAAUGUGAUUGGCUGAGAGGCGGAAGGAGGCGGGGAUUAAGGCCAAAAGGCAAAGGCGCACAGGUACGAGGCGUUGGAGAGGUUUAGAAACCGUCAAUUAAGAAGAAGUGUGUAUUUUACCAUGUUUAUGGUGCUUUUAAUUACUGUUUUCUACCGACUAACACAGCAAUGCGGAAGAAAAUUAUCAAAAUGGAGAUCUCCGAGGGAGAACGUCUAGCUUCACCGCGACGGGCGGACGGCUCCUGGUUCAGUUCAGCAUCAUCACACAGAGUUUACCCCGUCCCUGCACGUGCCGCGUUGGACGCUGACCUUGACCUCUCCAAUGAGGAUGUUUCCUGCCAGUGGCUGCAUCAGGUGAUAAUAGCAGCUUGUCCACUACUGUCAACACUGUAUCCUAGCAACAGCCCAUCACACGGUGUGCUCGUGUCCCUGCCGUUUACUGAAGAUGGUGCGGGGUCUUUUAAGGGCCUCGGUUGCAGUGGACGAGUGGCUGGCUGCAGUUCAGACCGGGCAGCAGCUUCCUGUGUCGUACCACAGGAAUGCCCAGCAGAGACGCAACUCACCCCGUCUCCAUCUCUGCUUCAGUCACACAAGCUCCC